AUUAUCCAGACUGCUGUUUCAGAACUGAUAAGGCAUUUAUUGCCACAGUAUUAAAUUACAACAAGCAUAAACUGUGUUUUUGGGGGAAAUGUAGGACCUGCUUUACCUAAAGGGGAGAGGAGAAAAACGUAGUCCUGGAGUGUGCUCUAUACUGAGUUAAUGGAGAACCAUGCCCAUUGUCAACUGAAAACUGUGAAAACUGUGACAACUGAAAUCUGCCAACUGAAAACUGAAAACUGUGUUGACAAAACUAAUAGUGAAGGAAAGUAGAAUGAAAUCCCAAGCCUUAUGUGAAGAACUGUGGUAGUGUGAUGAAAACUACACCUUUGAAGCCAUGGAAGAAGCAGCACUCCUGAGCAAGAAUGUAGUACCUGCCAACUUUUCUGCGAAGGGAAGCAGAUGCCUCUUCAUUUCAGCAUAUCAUCUUAACGCAUCAGACAUUGCAAGACAAAGUCACCACCUAACUUUCAGUGCCACUAAAACAUUGAACACCUAAGGAAAAACAGCAUGCUUUUUACAAAGUAUUUCCACUUUAAUCCAAAUGGCUGCAAACUCUGAGAUCUACCUGGUUGGGAGAUGGGAACAUUGUGGGGGAAUAAUCAAGAAGUCAUCGGAGAGCUUUUCAAACAAUGUGUGGGGUUAGUUGGAAACAUUAAUGUGUCAACUGCCAAAAUAAAAAAUGCUUUGGUGGCA
Chrysemys picta bellii (western painted turtle) is the source of this 693-nucleotide non-coding RNA. The record is from RefSeq and is a predicted model, not a curated record. Lineage: Eukaryota; Metazoa; Chordata; Testudines; Emydidae.